Stachybotrys elegans is the source of this 101-nucleotide non-coding RNA. The record is from the annotation of a GenBank genome assembly. Lineage: Eukaryota; Fungi; Ascomycota; Sordariomycetes; Hypocreales; Stachybotryaceae.
GGUCUGGUGGUCUAGUGGUAUGAUUGUCGCUUCGGGAGAUCCGCCAGUUUCCAAGCUGGCUCCAAUGUGACAGGUCCCGGGUUCAAUCCCCGGCCAGACCC